GACGAACGCUGGCGGCGUGCUUAACACAUGCAAGUCGAACGGGCCUUGUCCUCUUUUUUUUGGGGGUGGGGUUAGUGGCGAACGGGUGAGUAACACAUGAGUAACGCUGCCCCUCACUUCUGGAUAACCGCUUGAAAGGGUGGCUAAUACGGUGUGUUCUGGCCUGCUCGCAUGGGUGGGUUUGGAAAGAUUCGACCGGCUUUGGUUGUUAUGGUGGGGGAUGGGCUCGCGGCCUAUCAGCUUGUUGGAGGGGUGAUGGCCUGCCAAGGCUUUGACGGGUAGCCGGCCUGAAAAGGUGGGCGGUCACACUGGGACAGACACACGGGCCAGACUCCUACGGGAGGCAGCAGCGGGGAAUAUUGCACUAUGGGCGCAAGCCUGAUGCAGCGACACCGCGUGAGGGAUGGAGGCCUUCGGAUUGAGAACCUCUUUCGCCAGAGAAGAAAGACCUGCUCUUUGUGCUGGGGCUGACGGUAACUGGAUUGAUGAAUCCGCGGCUAACUACGUGCCAGCAUCCACGGCAAUACGGAGGGCGCGAGCGUUGUCCGGAAUUAUUGGGCGUACAGGGCUUGUACGCGGCUGGUCACGUCUGCCGUAGAAUCCUCUGGCUCAGCUGGGACUGUGCGAUGUGUACGGACAGGCUUGAGUGCGGUAGGGGAGACUGGAACUCCUGGUGUAGCGAUGGAAUGCGCAGAUAUCAGGAGGAACACCGCUGGCGAAGGCGGGUCUCUGGGCCGUUACUGACGCUGAGGAGCGAUAGCGUGGGGAGCGAACAGGAUUAGAUACCCUGGUAGUCCACGCUGUAAACGUUGGGCAGUAGGUGUGGGGGGACUUUUCCGGGUUUUCCGCGCCGUAGAUAACGCAUUCAGUGCCCCGCCUGGGGAGUACGGCCGCAAAGUUAAAACUCAUAAGGAAUUGACGGGGGCCCGCACACGCGGCGGAGCAUGCUUAUUAAUUCCAUGCGAAGCCAAAAACCAUACCGAGGCUUGACAUGGGCUGGAUUGCUUCGGAGACGGGGUUUCCCUUUUUUGGGAUGGUUCACAGGUGGUGCACGGUUGUCGUCACAUCGUGUCUUGAGAUGUUGGGUUAAGUCUCGCACCGAGCGCACCCCUUGUCUCGUGUUGCCAGCUCGUUGAGGUGGGGACUCGCGGGAGACUGCCGGGGUUAACUCGGAGGAAGGUGGGGAUGACGUCAAAUCAUCAUGCCCCUUAUGUUUUGGGCUUCACGCAUGCUACAAUGGCCGGUACAGUGGGUUGCGAUGCUGUGAGGCGGAGCGAAUCCUUGAAAGCCGGUCUCAGUUCGGAUCGGUGUCUGCAACUCGACACCGUGAAGUUGGAGUCGCUAGUAAUCGCAGAUCAGCAGCGCUGCGGUGAAUACGUUCUCGGGCCU
RNAcentral lists this ribosomal RNA (1389 nucleotides) under uncultured bacterium. RNAcentral describes it as "bacterial SSU rRNA". It matches the Rfam family "Bacterial small subunit ribosomal RNA", at positions 28 to 1381 of the family's 1533-position model. The record is from RNAcentral.